This 494-nucleotide ribosomal RNA is filed under the name uncultured bacterium. RNAcentral's name for it is "bacterial SSU rRNA". It matches the Rfam family "Bacterial small subunit ribosomal RNA", at positions 21 to 507 of the family's 1533-position model. The record is from RNAcentral.
GGCUCAGGAUGAACGCUAGCUACAGGCUUAACACAUGCAAGUCGAGGGGCAGCAUGUCGGUGCUUGCAACCGAUGAUGGCGACCGGCGCACGGGUGAGUAACGCGUAUCCAACCUACCCUUGUCCAUCGGAUAACCCGUCGAAAGGCGGCCUAACACGAUAUGCGGUUCUCAGCAGGCAUCUAACGAGAACGAAAUGUGAAGGAGAAGGAUGGGGAUGCGUCUGAUUAGCUUGUUGGUGGGGUAACGGCCCACCAAGGCGACGAUCAGUAGGGGUUCUGAGAGGAAGGUCCCCCACAUUGGAACUGAGACACGGUCCAAACUCCUACGGGAGGCAGCAGUGAGGAAUAUUGGUCAAUGGACGGGAGUCUGAACCAGCCAAGUAGCGUGCAGGAUGACGGCCCUAUGGGUUGUAAACUGCUUUUAUAGGGGGAUAAAGUGUGCCACGUGUGGCAUAUUGCAGGUACCCUAUGAAUAAGGACCGGCUAAUUCCGUG